Molecule: ribosomal RNA, 302 nt
Filed under: uncultured bacterium
Lineage: Bacteria
Description: bacterial SSU rRNA
Rfam family: Bacterial small subunit ribosomal RNA
Source: RNAcentral
GAUGAACGCUAGCGGCAGGCUUAAUACAUGCAAGUCGUGGGGCAGCAUGGGGUAGCAAUACCCUGAUGGCGACCGGCAAACGGGUGCGGAACACGUACGCAACCUUCCUUUAACUGGAGAAUAGCCCCUCGAAAGAGGGAUUAAUACUCCGUAAUAUCCCGAUAUGGCAUCAUAAUGGGAUUAUAGCUCCGGCGGUUAGAGAUGGGCGUGCGCCUGAUUAGGUAGGGUCGGGGUAAGUGGCCCACCAAGCCUGCGAUCAGUAACUGGUGUGAGAGCACGACCAGUCACACGGGCACUGAGAC